GACGAACGCUGGCGGCGUGCUUAACACAUGCAAGUCGAACGGACGGGCCCUGCUUUUGUUUGUUGCUCGUUUGGCGAACGGGUGAGUAACACGUGAGUAACCUCCCCUUGACUGUCUGGUAUCUUCAGGGAACUGGGGCUAAUACCGGAUAUGAUCUCCUGCUGCGUGGGGGUGGUAGGAAAGUUUCGGCGGUUGGGGAUGGACUCGCGGCUUAUCAGCUUGUUGGUGUGGUAGUGGCUUACCAAGGCUUUGACGGGUAGCCGGCCUGAGAGGGUGACCGGCCACAUUGGGACUGAGAUACGGCCCAGACUCCUACGGGAGGCAGCAGUGGGGAAUAUUGCACAAUGGGCGGAAGCCUGAUGCAGCAACGCCGCGUGCGGGAUGACGGCCUUCGGGUUGUAAACCGCUUUCGCCUGUGACGAAGCGUGAGUGACGGUAAUGGGUAAAGAAGCACCGGCUAACUACGUG
RNAcentral lists this ribosomal RNA (468 nucleotides) under uncultured bacterium. RNAcentral's name for it is "partial 16S ribosomal RNA". It matches the Rfam family "Bacterial small subunit ribosomal RNA", at positions 28 to 507 of the family's 1533-position model. The record is from RNAcentral.